Molecule: long non-coding RNA, 362 nt
Filed under: Ananas comosus (pineapple)
Lineage: Eukaryota; Viridiplantae; Streptophyta; Magnoliopsida; Poales; Bromeliaceae
Description: long non-coding RNA (ACOM_LNC008500)
Source: RNAcentral
UAAAGAACUUAUUUGAAUUAUGGACCAUUUUGAGUCGGCUAUCAGACUUUUCAAAAUUUCGAUUUGACUAAAUAAACUUUCAAUUUGUUUGAUUUGAGUCAUCAGUCAAUGAUAUUUCGGCUAUAGAUUUAAAUAACUUACUUUAAUAAAUUUAUAUAUAGUUGCAAAUAUUAUAUAUAUAAAGUAUACUAGCUAAAUCUAUAAAAGUAAACGACAGAUUCAAAUUUUUAAAUAAAAGUGCUGCUGACCGGUUUGAAUUAAACAAACUGAAAGAUUGAAUAGCUAAAUUAAAAUUUCAAGAGAUUGAAUAGUCAACUUAUAAUAAUCUAUAAUUUAGAUAAAUUUUAUAUAUUCUUUCUAUA